This 253-nucleotide ribosomal RNA is filed under the name uncultured bacterium. Its description in RNAcentral is "partial 16S ribosomal RNA". It matches the Rfam family "Bacterial small subunit ribosomal RNA", at positions 524 to 776 of the family's 1533-position model. The record is from RNAcentral.
UACGUAGGGGGCUAGCGUUGUCCGGAAUCAUUGGGCGUAAAGCGCGCGUAGGCGGCCCGGUAAGUCCGCUGUAAAAGUCAAAGGCUCAACCUUUGAAUGUCAGUGGAUACUGCCGGGCUAGAGUCCGGAAGAGGCGAGUGGAACUCCUGGUGUAGCGGUGGAAUGCGCAGAUAUCAGGAGGAACACCGGUGGCGAAGGCGGUUCUCUGGGAAUGUCCUGACGCUGAGGAGCGAAAGUGUGGGGAGCGAACAGG